UCAGAUUUGGAUUUUCGACUUAUUCAGCUUCUUUUCAUAAUACCAUAACUGUCAAAUGGUCUGAAUUGGUGCAAUCUUUCUGACAGCUCUUUGAUUGAAUUCUAAACGGUAAACAGCAGAUACAUGAGCUUAAUGUUCUGGUUAGGAGUCAGUUUGAUUUUUUUACUACUUGCUCAUCUUAUGUGCUGGUAAAAUUAUAUCGGCUUAUUUCAGUGCAAAUUUGGUAGCUGAUACUUCUGUCAUUUCUAUGAUUCAGGCCGUGCGGUGACUUGUAAAGGAACUGGCGCAUCCUUGUUUGAAGUCAGCUCUUCAUAUGCGGGUCACUACUUCCUCAUUGUGUGCCAUCUCUCGAGGGGAAGCUCUGAUUACCUUGUCCUGUAUGAGACCAUUUAAGCAAUCUUUUUUUUUUUGCGGUUCUUUUGAUGCUAUGCUAUCCAAGCGUCAUUUGGAUCCGAUGAUAUUCAGCAAGGCAUACUGUUAAAUUAAAUUAUGCUUGUUUUGGACAAUCCCUUGCUUUGGUCUAUUCAGUAAUAUUGAUUGAAUUUUGACU
This 550-nucleotide long non-coding RNA is filed under the name Triticum aestivum (bread wheat). RNAcentral describes it as "long non-coding RNA (TAES_LNC007211)". The record is from RNAcentral. Lineage: Eukaryota; Viridiplantae; Streptophyta; Magnoliopsida; Poales; Poaceae.